GGUUCGAAUCCUGCACGACCCACCAAUAUACAAGGUGGUAACUGGUAGAGAACGUGAAGGAUAACGUUGCUUUAGCAACGGCCCGAAGGGCGAGGCGAAGCCGAGUCAUCCUGCACGACCCACCA
Molecule: small RNA, 125 nt
Filed under: Salmonella enterica subsp. enterica serovar Rubislaw
Lineage: Bacteria; Pseudomonadati; Pseudomonadota; Gammaproteobacteria; Enterobacterales; Enterobacteriaceae
Also listed under: 4 other names
Description: partial RtT sRNA
Rfam family: RtT RNA
About the family: This family represents a bacterial cis-regulatory element known as RtT RNA.
Source: RNAcentral